GACGAACGCUGGCGGCGUGCUUAACACAUGCAAGUCGAGCGGUAAGGCCCUUCGGGGUACACGAGCGGCGAACGGGUGAGUAACACGUGAGUAAUCUGCCCAUCACUUCGGGAUAACUCCGGGAAACCGGUGCUAAUACCGAAUAUGACCACUUCAGGCUUCUGAUGGUGGUGGAAAGUUCCGGCGGUGAUGGAUGGUCUCGCGGCCUAUCAGCUUGUUGGUGGGGUAGUGGCCUACCAAGGCUUCGACGGGUAGCCGGCCUGAGAGGGUGGCCGGCCACACUGGGACUGAGAGACGGCCCAGACUCCUACGGGAGGCAGCAGUGGGGAAUAUUGGACAAUGGGCGAAAGCCUGAGACAGCAACGCCGCGUGAGGGAUGACGGCCUUCGGGUUGUAAACCUCUUUCAGCAGGGACGAAGCGCAAGUGACGGUACCUGCAGAAGAAGCACCGGCCAACUACGUG
This 463-nucleotide ribosomal RNA is filed under the name uncultured bacterium. RNAcentral describes it as "partial 16S ribosomal RNA". It matches the Rfam family "Bacterial small subunit ribosomal RNA", at positions 28 to 507 of the family's 1533-position model. The record is from RNAcentral.